UACGUAGGGGGCAAGCGUUGUCCGGAUUUAUUGGGCGUAAAGAGCGUGUAGGCGGUCAGGUAGGUCCGUUGUGAAAACUCGAGGCUCAACCUCGAGACGCCGAUGGAAACCAUCUGACUAGAGUCCGGAAGAGGAGAGUGGAAUUCCUGGUGUAGCGGUGAAAUGCGCAGAUAUCAGGAAGAACACCAAUGGCGAAAGCAGCUCUCGGGGACGGUACUGACGCUGAGACGCGAAAGCGUGGGGAGCGAACAGG
RNAcentral lists this ribosomal RNA (253 nucleotides) under uncultured bacterium. RNAcentral describes it as "partial 16S ribosomal RNA". It matches the Rfam family "Bacterial small subunit ribosomal RNA", at positions 524 to 776 of the family's 1533-position model. The record is from RNAcentral.